Molecule: ribosomal RNA, 686 nt
Filed under: Escherichia coli
Lineage: Bacteria; Pseudomonadati; Pseudomonadota; Gammaproteobacteria; Enterobacterales; Enterobacteriaceae
Description: partial 23S ribosomal RNA
Rfam family: Bacterial large subunit ribosomal RNA
Source: RNAcentral
UGAUCGGGGUUGCGGACAGUGUCUGGUGGGUAGUUUGACUGGGGCGGUCUCCUCCUAAAGAGUAACGGAGGAGCACGAAGGUUGGCUAAUCCUGGUCGGACAUCAGGAGGUUAGUGCAAUGGCAUAAGCCAGCUUGACUGCGAGCGUGACGGCGCGAGCAGGUGCGAAAGCAGGUCAUAGUGAUCCGGUGGUUCUGAAUGGAAGGGCCAUCGCUCAACGGAUAAAAGGUACUCCGGGGAUAACAGGCUGAUACCGCCCAAGAGUUCAUAUCGACGGCGGUGUUUGGCACCUCGAUGUCGGCUCAUCACAUCCUGGGGCUGAAGUAGGUCCCAAGGGUAUGGCUGUUCGCCAUUUAAAGUGGUACGCGAGCUGGGUUUAGAACGUCGUGAGACAGUUCGGUCCCUAUCUGCCGUGGGCGCUGGAGAACUGAGGGGGGCUGCUCCUAGUACGAGAGGACCGGAGUGGACGCAUCACUGGUGUUCGGGUUGUCAUGCCAAUGGCACUGCCCGGUAGCUAAAUGCGGAAGAGAUAAGUGCUGAAAGCAUCUAAGCACGAAACUUGCCCCGAGAUGAGUUCUCCCUGAGACUUUAAGUCUCCUGAAGGAACGUUGAAGACGACGACGUUGAUAGGCCGGGUGUGUAAGCGCAGCGAUGCGUUGAGCUAACCGGUACUAAUGAACCGUGAGG